UUCUAUUUAUUUAAUAUAUAAUAUUUAUUUGUGAAGUAAAAGUUGAGAAUUUCUCUUUAGAAU
Molecule: transfer RNA, 63 nt
Filed under: Parasacculina shiinoi
Lineage: Eukaryota; Metazoa; Arthropoda; Thecostraca; Polyascidae
Description: tRNA-His
Source: RNAcentral